This 465-nucleotide ribosomal RNA is filed under the name uncultured bacterium. Its description in RNAcentral is "partial 16S ribosomal RNA". It matches the Rfam family "Bacterial small subunit ribosomal RNA", at positions 338 to 795 of the family's 1533-position model. The record is from RNAcentral.
CCUACGGGAGGCAGCAGUGGGGAAUAUUGCGCAAUGGGCGAAAGCCUGACGCAGCGACGCCGCGUGAGGGAUGAAGGUCUUCGGAUCGUAAACCUCUGUCAGCAGGGAAGAACGGUCACUGUGCUAAUCAGCAGUGAAUUGACGGUACCUGCAAAGGAAGCACCGGCUAACUCCGUGCCAGCAGCCGCGGUAAUACGGAGGGUGCGAGCGUUAAUCGGAAUUACUGGGCGUAAAGCGCUCGUAGACGGUAUGUCAAGUCAAGGGUGAAAUCCCCGCGCUCAACGUGGAAAUUGCCUUUGAAACUGGCAAACUGGAGUGUGUGAGAGGAUAGUGGAAUUCGUGGUGUAGGAGUGAAAUGCGUAGAUAUCAGGAGGAACAUCAGUGGCGAAGGCGACUAUCUGGCACAUCACUGACGCUGAGGAGCGAAAGCGUGGGUAGCAAACAGGAUUAGAUACCCCAGUAGUC